Molecule: ribosomal RNA, 480 nt
Filed under: uncultured bacterium
Lineage: Bacteria
Description: partial 16S ribosomal RNA
Rfam family: Bacterial small subunit ribosomal RNA
Source: RNAcentral
GAUGAACGCUCGCGGCAGGCCUAACACAUGCAAGUCGAGGGGUAGAAGGAGCUUGCUCCUUUGAGACCGGCGCACGGGUGCGUAACGCGUAUGCAAUCUACCUUGUACAGGGGAAUAGCCCAGAGAAAUUUGGAUUAAUGCCCCAUAGUAUAUAACCUUCGCAUGUUGGUUAUAUUAAAGUUCCAACGGUACAAGAUGAGCAUGCGUCCCAUUAGUUAGUUGGUAAGGUAACGGCUUACCAAGACGAUGAUGGGUAGGGGUCCUGAGAGGGAGAUCCCCCACACUGGUACUGAGACACGGACCAGACUCCUACGGGAGGCAGCAGUGAGGAAUAUUGGUCAAUGGUCGCAAGACUGAACCAGCCAUGCCGCGUGCAGGAAGACGGUCCUAUGGAUUGUAAACUGCUUUUAUACAGGAAGAAGCCCUCCCACGUGUGGGAGCUUGACGGUACUGUAGGAAUAAGGAGCGGCUAACUCCGUG